UUGGAGGGCAAGUCUGGUGCCAGCAGCCGCGGUAAUUCCAGCUCCAAUAGCGUAUAUUAAAGUUGUUGCAGUUAAAAAGCUCGUAGUUGAAUUUCGGGAUUCUACCGUUGGUCGGGCUAACAAGUCUGUACUGGUGUGUAGAAUUUCUACCUUCUGGGGAACUAUCAUGUUAUUAAUUUAGCGUGGUGGGAAACCAGGACCUUUGCCUUGAAAAAAUUAGAGUGUUCAAAGCAGGCUUACAGUCUGAAUACAUUAGCAUGGAAUAAUAGAAUAGGACGGUGGUCCUGUUUUGUUGGUUUCUGAAUCACCGUAAUGAUUAAUAGGGAUAGUUGGGGGCAUUAGUAUUCAAUUGUCAGAGGUGAAAUUCUUGGAUUUAUUGAAGACUAACUUCUGCGAAAGCAUUUGCCAAGGAUGUUUUCAUUAAUCAAGAACGAAAGUUAGGGGAUCGAAGACGAUCAGAUACCGUCGUAGUCUUAACCAUAAACUAUGCCGACUAGGGAUCGGACGAUGUUAAAUUUUAUUGACUCGUUCGGCGCCUUACGGGAAAC
RNAcentral lists this ribosomal RNA (548 nucleotides) under uncultured Glomeromycotina. RNAcentral's name for it is "SSU rRNA". It matches the Rfam family "Eukaryotic small subunit ribosomal RNA", at positions 548 to 1098 of the family's 1831-position model. The record is from RNAcentral. Lineage: Eukaryota; Fungi; Glomeromycota.